Molecule: long non-coding RNA, 1773 nt
Organism: Eublepharis macularius
Lineage: Eukaryota; Metazoa; Chordata; Lepidosauria; Squamata; Eublepharidae
Exons: 4
Source: RefSeq, a predicted model, not a curated record
AGCUGGAUGGACAAAUAAGGAUGAAAGACUCCAGGACUUUGCUACAGCGAAAUCUUCAGCUGUAAUCCAUUCCAGGACCUCCUGAUCAGAGAUUGGGGCCUCCCAUAUUGGGGUACUGGCUAAUGCCAUCGACACAGAAGAACAGAGUCUUUUCUCCGCUUCCAGCACCUCACAACUGCCUUUUCUCCCUGAGAACCACUCUAAAAAUACUACUCUAAAAAUACAGCUCACUCCGCCCCAUAGGGCACAGGUACCAUCCCAUCAUAACACACUUCGCUCACCCAUCCAGCCCCCUGCUUUCUUCCCUUCGAGGCCUGCAUUUUAAAGCAUUAGCAAACAUACAUUCAAAACCCCAUGUUAAUUUGCAGAACUAAAACACAAUAUAUUUACACAGCAGAACAUUACAGCCACCUAGUGAGUUAAUGGGAGAAAGGCAAAGAAGGGGGCAGCGUGCUUCGUAGCGUCUGUGCCAGCUCUUUGCAGAAAAGGACUCUUGCACGGAGAUUGCCAAUUUUGACUCAGAGGACUCUAUUUUGCCACUAGAAACUCCCAUCACAGCCUGGAACACCAGCUAGUGGCGUGGAGGAUUCCAGCUCAUUGAUGCCCAAGGGAAGGAUCAUCGCCAAACAACAGGCACCAAGAUCGAACAAACAGGAGCCAAAAUAAGACUCCACACAAGACGUCCCAGCACAGGUGAAGGGCAGCGAAGUUCCGCAUGGAUCAGGCCUGGGACAUCCUGGACUUCCACAUUCGGCAGAAAAGGAUUCAGCAAGAGUGGGGAAUGCCGUCCCUUGUGCAUGCCUUUGUCCCCAUUCCACUGGAAUUUAAUUUAAUUUAAUUUAUUACAUUUAUAUUCUGCCCUCCCUGCUUUCGCAGGCUCAGGAAGCGAGACCAGGAGCAUAUAUGGCUCCUCAGAGCCUGGCUGAGGGAGGACAAGCUGGUUCUCAGGCAGCACUACCUGUUGUGGAAGUGAGGGGGUGCCUUUCCAUGAGUUGCCAUUUUUGGAUCCAGGAGGGCCGGGAAGCCCAUGUAAAUAGUCUGACCGCAGAACACAGAUGGCGUCUUCCAAAACUUGUGCAAAUGUCAGCAAGCUCUUUUCUGCCUCCUGCAUCACCACAAGCUGAAGAAAUCAAGAAAUUCCCAGUACACCUACAGUCGGAAUCUCUCCAGUUCCCUAAGAUAGAACCCCAAAGGAUGUCAGAAAGACCAGUGGAGAAACCCUGUAGUAAAAGACAUGUUUCAAGGCAGCUAUGGAAGGAGAAAGCCCAUAGUCCCUCACCUGUGCUCUCAGAGGUUGCACAAUGCCUCUGGUAGCAAGAUUACCAUUUGGCACGGGCACAAGGAAGAAAACCAAAUGAGAAUCUCUCAGGAUACUCUACUGACAAACCUAGAUCAACUGCAAAAAACCUACAGCGGUAGUAUCAAUAGCAAAGUACUGAAAACACUUAGUAAUAUAUACAAAUCAUUUAUGAUUGAUAACACUCAACAACAAGGAAUCACAACACAGUCACAAGUUCUCCAAGCAUUUCAGUGACAUAUGUAGAACAAUUCUUCCUUCAGUCUUUAGAGGGGAAUCCCAGAAGCCACAGGCAGGCGGGGAAGCCAACUCCCUGGCUGAAGAUCCUCCAGUGGAGAAGCAAGAUGUGUUGUGAGAAGGUUGCAGCUAUCAACAGCUCAGCAGGGCGCAAGCUUGACUCCUGUUUCAGUGUUGCUUUUUCAAGAGUGUUGACAACCAACAAACAUAUUCAUAGUUCUACAAUAAAUACAAAACUU